CUCAUAUUAACUCUGUGUGCAGCUUUCUGGUGGCAUAAUAAAGGGCUUACUAUCCUCUUUUGCAUUUUACAAUUCUUUGCCUUGGCAUGGUACAGCAUUUCCUACAUACCAUUUGCAAGGUAAUGUUGAUUGCCCACAUUUGUUCAUGGAAC
Long non-coding RNA from Protobothrops mucrosquamatus (brown spotted pit viper), 152 nucleotides. RefSeq lists it as uncharacterized. NCBI's taxonomy places the organism in Eukaryota, Metazoa, Chordata, Lepidosauria, Squamata, Viperidae. The transcript has 3 exons. The record is from RefSeq and is a predicted model, not a curated record.